UGCAGGAUAGAGAAGUGGUUAUCUCACAAGCCUCAUAAGCUUGGAAUCGUGGGUUCAAAUCCCACUCUUGCAACCA
RNAcentral lists this transfer RNA (76 nucleotides) under Bacillus subtilis. RNAcentral's name for it is "tRNA-Met". It matches the Rfam family "tRNA". Rfam says of the family: Transfer RNA (tRNA) molecules are approximately 80 nucleotides in length. Their secondary structure includes four short double-helical elements and three loops (D, anti-codon, and T loops). RNAcentral also lists the same sequence under 1 other name. The record is from RNAcentral. Lineage: Bacteria; Bacillati; Bacillota; Bacilli; Caryophanales; Bacillaceae.